Molecule: antisense RNA, 135 nt
Filed under: Vibrio genomosp. F6 str. FF-238
Lineage: Bacteria; Pseudomonadati; Pseudomonadota; Gammaproteobacteria; Vibrionales; Vibrionaceae
Description: Vibrio regulatory RNA of OmpA
Rfam family: Vibrio regulatory RNA of OmpA
Source: Rfam by way of RNAcentral
GUAACCAAGAGAUGCAUUGAGAAGUUAAACAGGCCGUCUAACUACUUCUAUCUUGUUGGCUACGAAACCACUGCUUUUUCUAAAUAACUCCUAUAUUUGUAUCCGCCCAACCCAUCUUGGUUUGGGCUUUUUUUU